This 440-nucleotide ribosomal RNA is filed under the name uncultured bacterium. Its description in RNAcentral is "partial 16S ribosomal RNA". It matches the Rfam family "Bacterial small subunit ribosomal RNA", at positions 338 to 795 of the family's 1533-position model. The record is from RNAcentral.
CCUACGGGAGGCAGCAGUGGGGAAUAUUGCACAAUGGGGGAAACCCUGAUGCAGCGACGCCGCGUGAGUGAAGAAGUAUUUCGGUACGUAAAGCUCUAUCAGCAGGGAAGAAAAUGACGGUACCUGACUAAGAAGCCCCGGCUAACUACGUGCCAGCAGCCGCGGUAAUACGUAGGGGGCAAGCGUUAUCCGGAUUUACUGGGUGUAAAGGGAGCGUAGACGGCAGCGCAAGUCUGGAGUGAAAUCCCAUGGCUUAACCAUGGAACUGCUUUGGAAACUGUGCAGCUAGAGUGCAGGAGAGGUAAGCGGAAUUCCUAGUGUAGCGGUGAAAUGCGUAGAUAUUAGGAGGAACACCAGUGGCGAAGGCGGCUUACUGGACUGUAACGGACGUUGAGGCUCGAAAGCGUGGGGAGCAAACAGGAUUAGAUACCCGAGUAGUC